Molecule: ribosomal RNA, 497 nt
Filed under: uncultured bacterium
Lineage: Bacteria
Description: partial 16S ribosomal RNA
Rfam family: Bacterial small subunit ribosomal RNA
Source: RNAcentral
GAUGAACGCUGGCGGCGUGCCUAAUACAUGCCAGUCGAGCGAACGGACGAGAAGCUUGCUUCUCUGAUGUUAGCGGCGGACGGGUGAGUAACACGUGGAUAACCUACCUAUAAGACUGGGAUAACUUCGGGAAACCGGAGCUCAUACCGGAUAAUAUUUUGAACCGCAUGGUUCAAAAGUGAACGACGGUCUUGCUGUCACUUAUAGAUGGAUCCGCGCUGCAUUAGCUAGUUGGUAAGGUAACGGCUUACCAAGGCAACGAUGCAUAGCCGACCUGAGAGGGUGAUCGGCCACACUGGAACUGAGACACGGUCCAGACUCCUACGGGAGGCAGCAGUAGGGAAUCUUCCGCAAUGGGCGAAAGCCUGACGGAGCAACGCCGCGUGAGUGAUGAAGGUCUUCGGAUCGUAAAACUCUGUUAUUAGGGAAGAACAUAUGUGUAAGUAACUGUGCACAUCUUGACGGUACCUAAUCAGAAAGCCACGGCUAACUACGUG